RNAcentral lists this ribosomal RNA (468 nucleotides) under uncultured bacterium. Its description in RNAcentral is "partial 16S ribosomal RNA". It matches the Rfam family "Bacterial small subunit ribosomal RNA", at positions 28 to 507 of the family's 1533-position model. The record is from RNAcentral.
GACGAACGCUGGCGGCGUGCUUAACACAUGCGAGUCGAACGGAAAGGGCCUGCUUUUGUGGGGAGCCCGAGGGGCGAAGGGGAGAGAAACACGGGAGUAACCUGCCCUGGACUUGGGGAUAACUGGAGGAAACUGGGGAUAAUACAGAAUAGGAGCUGCAGCAGGAGGGGGGGGGUUGGAAAGUAUCGGAGGUUGGGGAUGGACGCGCGGCUUAUCAGCUUGUGGGGGGGGGAGUGGCUUACCAACGGAUUGAGGGGUAGCCGGCCUGGGAGGGUGACCGGCCUCAUUGGUACUGCGAUACGGCCCAGACUCCUACGGUAGGCAGCAGUGGGGAAUAUUGCCCAAUGGGCGGAAGCCUGAUGCAGCAACGCCGCGUGCGUGAUGACGGCCUUCGUGUUGUAAACCGCUUUCGCCUGUUACGAAGCGUUAGUGACGUUACUGGGUAAAGAAGCACCGGCUAACUACGUG